This 931-nucleotide ribosomal RNA is filed under the name uncultured bacterium. Its description in RNAcentral is "bacterial SSU rRNA". It matches the Rfam family "Bacterial small subunit ribosomal RNA", at positions 22 to 910 of the family's 1533-position model. The record is from RNAcentral.
GCUCAGGAUGAACGCUGGCGGCAUGCCUAAGACAUGCAAGUCGAACGAAGGGACCCAAUGAGAUUUAUAGAAGUUUGGAGAGCUUGCUCAAAGAAUGGAAAUAAAUCAAUUUGGAUUAUCCCUUAGUGGCAAACGGGUGAGUAACACGUGGGUUACCUGCCUUCAAGAUGGGGAUAACAGUUGGAAACGAUUGCUAAUACCGAAUGUGAUCUACGGAUUAAAGAAGCCUUUAAAGCUUCGCUUGAAGAUGGGCCUGCGGUGCAUUAGCUAGUUGGUGAGGUAACGGCCCACCAAGGCGACGAUGCAUAGCCGAACUGAGAGGUUAAUCGGCCACAUUGGGACUGAGACACGGCCCAAACCCCUACGGGAGACAGCAGUUAGGAAUAUUCGUCAAUGGGGGAAACCCUGAACGAGCAAUGCCGCGUGAGUGAUGACGGUCCUCUGGAUUGUAAAACUCUGUUGUUUGGAAAGAACUGUAAGAAGAGGAAAUGCUUCUUACUUAACGGUACCAUUCAAGAAAGCCACGGCUAACUACGUGCCAGCAGCCGCGGUAAUACGUAGGUGGCGAGCGUUAUCCGGAUUUAUUGGGCGUAAAGCGUCCGCAGCCGGUUUAUUAAGUCUAGAAUAAAAGCCUGGAGCUUAACUCCAGUUCGUUCUAGAAACUGAUAUACUUGAGUGUAGUAGAGGCAAAUGGAAUUUCUAGUGUAGCGGUAAAAUGCGUAGAUAUUAGAAGGAACACCAGUGGCGAAGGCGAUUUGCUAGGCUAUUACUGACGGUCAGGGACGAAAGCGUGGGGAGCAAAUAGGAUUAGAUACCCUAGUAGUCCACGCUGUAAACGAUGAGUACUAAGUGUCGGGUUACCGGUGCUGAAGUUAACACAUUAAGUACUCCGCCUGAGUAGUGCGGUCGCAAGGCUGAAACUCAAAGGAAU